GUUCUUCUGCUUACCGCUACAGUGUGGAACAUGGUGGAGAGAACAGAAUGAAACCUGGGCUUAGAAAAUAUGUCUGUGAUCUCACACUGGACCUAAAAACAGUAAACAGACACCUCUCUUUGUCUGAGGAGAACAGAAAGGUGACAUGGAGGAGAGAGGAGCAGCUGUAUCCUGAUCACCCAGAGAGAUUUGAGGACUGUGGAGAGGUGCUGUGUAGAGAGGGUCUGACUGGGCUCUGUUACUGGGAGGUAGAGUGGAGUGGGAGAAGGGCUGUUAUAGGAGUGACAUAUAAAGGAAUCAACAGGAGAGGAAGGGAUAAGGACUGUUGUCUUGGACACAAUGACAAGUCCUGGAGUCUGUUCUGCUCUGACAACAGUUACUAUGCCUGUCACAAUAAUAAUCACAUUACCAUAGACGUCCCCUCCUCCAGCUCCCACAGAGUAGGAGUGUAUCUGGACUGGCCAGCCGGCACUCUGUCCUUCUAUAGAGUCUCCUCUGACACACUGUCCCACCUGAUCACAUUCACAUCCACAUUCACUGAGCCCCUCUAUCCAGGGUUUGGGGUUUGGGGUGAUGACUCCUCAGUGUCCCUGUAAAUACACACACACAUACACUGGACACACAGACAUACACUGGACACACACACACACACACACACACACACACACACACACACACUGGACACACACACACACUGGACACACACACACACACACUGGACACACACACACACUGGACACACAGACAUACACUGGACACACACACACACACAUUGGACACACACUGACACACACACACUGACACACACACAUUGGACACACACACACACUGACACACACACAAACACACACUGACAUACUGUUAGGAAAUUCUGAUUAAUAUGACUGAACAAAUCAUUUUAAAUGGAACUGUAAGUAAACUUAUACUCUGAUAUAUUAUAUCUGAUUAACAAUAUGAGUUCAUAAGAAGGGAUUGUGAGACACAGACAAGGAGUAAUUAAAGUUAAUGAACACCAUUCCAACUAGGCAGAAACAAAUGGGUUUGAAAACAGAUAAGGUAGUUAGCCUAUGGUUGACCCAACUGAAACUUAGCUCUUGGGUUUUUAGAUAAGGCAGUGAGUGCAUUCCUAGUUUUUCUGUUAAUUAAAACUGUCAGUUCAGUGGUGAUCGAUAAUGUUGAGGGGUCAAAAGUUAUCUGGGAGUGUGGUAGUAAGUUAGAAUGAACUUUUCACCUUACUUUGUCCCGGUCGAGAGGAGGGGAUUCGGUUAAGGCAGUGAAAUGACGUCAUGAUCUGUAUAUAAACUGAUGCAUGUGUUUAAGUGGUAGCGCGCUCCGAGAAUAAAUUAUAUUACCUAUUAUUGAAA
Oncorhynchus kisutch (coho salmon) is the source of this 1364-nucleotide long non-coding RNA. RefSeq lists it as uncharacterized. NCBI's taxonomy places the organism in Eukaryota, Metazoa, Chordata, Actinopteri, Salmoniformes, Salmonidae. The record is from RefSeq and is a predicted model, not a curated record. The transcript is spliced from 2 exons.